UACGUAGGGUGCGAGCGUUGUCCGGAAUUAUUGGGCGUAAAGAGCUUGUAGGCGGUCUGUCGCGUCUGCUGUGAAAAUCCGGGGCUCAACCCCGGACUUGCAGUGGGUACGGGCAGACUAGAGUGUGGUAGGGGAGACUGGAAUUCCUGGUGUAGCGGUGAAAUGCGCAGAUAUCAGGAGGAGCACCGAUGGCGAAGGCAGGUCUCUGGGCCACUACUGACGCUGAGAAGCGAAAGCAUGGGGAGCGAACAGG
RNAcentral lists this ribosomal RNA (253 nucleotides) under uncultured bacterium. RNAcentral's name for it is "partial 16S ribosomal RNA". It matches the Rfam family "Bacterial small subunit ribosomal RNA", at positions 524 to 776 of the family's 1533-position model. The record is from RNAcentral.